This 915-nucleotide ribosomal RNA is filed under the name uncultured archaeon. Its description in RNAcentral is "bacterial SSU rRNA". It matches the Rfam family "Archaeal small subunit ribosomal RNA", at positions 1 to 922 of the family's 1478-position model. The record is from RNAcentral.
UUCCGGUUGAUCCUGCCGGAGGUCACUGCUAUUGGGAUUCGACUAAGCCAUGCGAGUCGAGAGGGUUCGGCCCUCGGCUGACGGCUCAGUAACACGUGGAUAAUCUGCCCUUAGGUGGAGGAUAAUCUCGGGAAACUGAGGAUAAUACUCCAUAGAUUUAGGAUGCUGGAAUGCAUCUAAAUUGAAAGCUCCGGCGCCUAAGGAUGAGUCUGCGGACUAUCAGGUUGUAGUCAGGGUAAAGACCUGACUAGCCUACGACGGAUACGGGUUGUGAGAGCAAUAACCCGGAGACGAUAUCUGAGACACGAUAUCGGGCCCUACGGGGCGCAGCAGGCGCGAAAACUUCACACUGUGCGAAAGCGCGAUGAGGGAAUCCCAAGUGUUUGCUCGUUAGAGUAAACUGUUUCUUUGUUUAAAACGCAGAGAGAGUAAGGGCUGGGUAAGACGGGUGCCAGCCGCCGCGGUAAUACCUGCAGCUCAAGUGGUGAUCAUUAUUAUUGGGCCUAAAACGUCCGUAGCCGGUUUAGUAAAUGCCUGGGUAAAUCGUGUAGCUUAACUAUACGACUUCCGGGUAGACUGCUAAACUUGAGACCGGGAGAGGCUAGAGGUACUCCUGGGGUAGAGGUGAAAUUCUGUAAUCCUAGGGGGACCACCAGUGGCGAAGGCGUCUAGCUAGAACGGGUCUGACGGUGAGGGACGAAGCCCUGGGGCACAAACCGGAUUAGAUACCCGGGUAGUCCAGGGUGUAAACGCUGCUUGCUUGAUGUUAGUUGGGCUCCGAGCCCAACUAGUGUCGGAGAGAAGUUGUUAAGCAAGCUGCCUGGGAAGUACGGUCGCAAGGCUGAAACUUAAAGGAAUUGGCGGGGGAGCACAGCAACGGGUGGAGCGUGCGGUUUAAUUGGACUCAACGCCGGA